UCCAGACUCCUACGGGAGGCAGCAGUGGGGGAUAUUGCACAAUGGGGGAAACCCUGAUGCAGCGACGCCGCGUGAGUGAAGAAGUAUUUCGGUAUGUAAAGCUCUAUCGGCAGGGAAGAAAAAAAUGACAGUACCUGACUAAGAAGCCCCGGCUAACUACGUGCCAGCAGCCGCGGGAAUACGUAGGGGGCAAGCGUUAUCCGGAUUUACUGGGUGUAAAGGGAGCGUAGACGGCAUGGCAAGUCAGAUGUGAAAGCCCGGGGCUCAACCCCGGGACUGCAUUUGAAACUGUCAGGCUGGAGUGCAGGGGAGGUAAGUGGAAUUCCUAGUGUAGCGGUGAAAUGCGUAGAUAUUAGGAGGAACACCAGUGGCGAAGGCGGCUUACUGGACUGUAACUGACGUUGAGGCUCGAAAGCGUGGGGAGCAAACAGGAUUAGAUACCCCAGUAC
RNAcentral lists this ribosomal RNA (449 nucleotides) under uncultured bacterium. Its description in RNAcentral is "bacterial SSU rRNA". It matches the Rfam family "Bacterial small subunit ribosomal RNA", at positions 330 to 793 of the family's 1533-position model. The record is from RNAcentral.